CCUACGGGAGGCAGCAGUGGGGAAUAUUGCGCAAUGGGCGAAAGCCUGACGCAGCGACGCCGCGUGAGGGAUGAAGGUCUUCGGAUCGUAAACCUCUGUCAGCAGGGACGAAGCAAGUGACGGUACCUGAUGAAUAAGCCACGGCUAACUACGUGCCAGCAGCCGCGGUAAUACGUAGGUGGCAAGCGUUAUCCGGAUUUACUGGGUGUAAAGGGCGUGUAGGCGGGAAAGCAAGUCAGAUGUGAAAACCAUGGGCUCAACCUGUGGCCUGCAUUUGAAACUGUUUUUCUGGAGUACUGGAGAGGCAGACGGAAGUCCUAGUGUAGCGGUGAAAGGCGUAGAUAUUAGGAGGAACACCAGUGGCGAAGGCGGUCUGCUGGACAGCAACUGACGCUGAGGCGCGAAAGCGUGGGGAGCAAACAGGAUUAGAUACCCCAGUAGUC
Molecule: ribosomal RNA, 443 nt
Filed under: uncultured bacterium
Lineage: Bacteria
Description: partial 16S ribosomal RNA
Rfam family: Bacterial small subunit ribosomal RNA
Source: RNAcentral